GGGACAUCCAAGUCGUACUGUACAAGCAGUAGAAACAAACAAGCUUCCUGCUUCUACCGCAGUGGUAAGAGAUUAUCUGCACUCUCCUUCCUCAAUUUGAGUGGUAGAUGAAGAUCACAUGUGUAAAUAAUUAAUUCCUCAGUACUAGCACCAUUACCGGGGAUUUGCAGGCUCGGAUAAGCAUUCCGUUCUUCAUCUCUUCUGCCAAAGUUUCCAAUCAGAAUAGCACAAAACAGUUUUCCUCUUCUUUCUUUUCUGAACGUGCAGCAUCAAUGUUCAAUUCCUGCAGUACGUGUUGAUUUCCACAUCGUACAACAGUUAGCAUCUAUC
RNAcentral lists this long non-coding RNA (330 nucleotides) under Hordeum vulgare. RNAcentral's name for it is "long non-coding RNA (HVUL_LNC012147)". The record is from RNAcentral. Lineage: Eukaryota; Viridiplantae; Streptophyta; Magnoliopsida; Poales; Poaceae.